This 434-nucleotide ribosomal RNA is filed under the name uncultured bacterium. RNAcentral describes it as "partial 16S ribosomal RNA". It matches the Rfam family "Bacterial small subunit ribosomal RNA", at positions 29 to 507 of the family's 1533-position model. The record is from RNAcentral.
AGUGAACGCUGGCGGCAGGCCUAACACAUGCAAGUCGAACGAACCUACCGGGGGUAGUGGCGGAUGGGUGUGGAGCACGUCGGAACGGUCCUUUAUGUUCGGAAUAACUCUGGGAAACUUGUGAUAAUACCGAAUGUGCCCUUCGGGGGGAAGAUAUAUCGCAUUUAGAGCGGCACGCGUCGGAUUAGCUAGUUGGUUGAGGUAAUGGCGCACCAGGGCGACGAUAAGUAGCUGGUAAGUGAGGAUGAUCACAGACAUUGGGACUGAGACACGGCCCAAACUCCUACGGGAUGGAGCAGUGGGUGAUCUUGCGAAAUCGGCGAAAUGCUGACGCAGCCAUGCCGCGUGAAUGAUGUAGGUCUGAGGGUUGUAAAAUUCUUUCACCGGGGACGAUAAUGACGGUACCCGAAGAAGAAGCCCCGGCUAACUUCGUG